GACGAACGCUGGCGGCGUGCUUAACACAUGCAAGUCGAACGGGCUGAAGUGAUAGCUUGCUGGAUAUACAACUUAGUGGCGGACGGGUGAGUAACACGUGAGUAACCUGCCUCUCAGAGUGGAAUAACGUUUGGAAACGAACGCUAAUACCGCAUAACGUGAGAAGAGGGCAUCCUCUUUUUACCAAAGAUUUAUCGCUGAGAGAUGGGCUCGCGGCCGAUUAGAUAGUUGGUGAGGUAACGGCUCACCAAGUCGACGAUCCAUAGCCGGACUGAGAGGUUGAACGGCCACAUUGGGACUGAGACACGGCCCAG
This 314-nucleotide ribosomal RNA is filed under the name uncultured bacterium. RNAcentral describes it as "bacterial SSU rRNA". It matches the Rfam family "Bacterial small subunit ribosomal RNA", at positions 28 to 334 of the family's 1533-position model. The record is from RNAcentral.